Molecule: long non-coding RNA, 204 nt
Organism: Malurus melanocephalus (red-backed fairy wren)
Lineage: Eukaryota; Metazoa; Chordata; Aves; Passeriformes; Maluridae
Exons: 3
Source: RefSeq, a predicted model, not a curated record
CCGCCCGCGCUAUAAAAGCGCGCGCGGCCGCCGCCGCUUAAAGGGGCCGCGUCCUGUGCGAGAUGUUUCCCGCUGGGUUCUGGCUUUAGGAUGUUGGAGAACCAAGAGGAAGAACUGACCACGGUGCGAGUGCAGGAUCCCCGCGUGCAGAACGAGGGCUCCUGGAAUUCCUAUGUGGAUUACAAAAUCUUCCUGCAUGUGAGA